CCGUCAACAUCUAGCUCAAAAUCCUUUCAGACUAGAACUUCCUCCAUGGAAUUUUUAGAUGAAGAUUUGAUGGAAGUAACUCCUCUGCGUAUGAUACCAGGUAACAUUCCAAGCUCACCUUCCGUGGCUAAAGCUAAGCAAGGUAACACUCCUAAAAAAUCGCCUGAUAAGAGAGGACAUGCACUCUACUGAUCGCAUCAUAAGAAACCUAGUUACUAUCAUACUGAAGGAAGAGCAUGGAGUUAAGGACACUUUUACCCCUCUGUCCAGAAGGGAACCCUCACCUGAGGUGGAAAGCCAAGCUGAGAAAGAUGAUAACUCAUCUAAAACAGAAAAGGAAGUAGCUGCUGAGGGUCUGUGUUCUCUUGGAAAAAACUUACCUAGUAUGUCCCCUGAUACUGCUCAGGACAUUAAGGAAGAAAGGUCUGAGGAAGAAGAUGACACGUUGGUCAAUCUUGUGAAAACAAGUGUAGCUAAUAGACUGAGAAAGAGGAAGAGUAUGGCUGAGAUAAGGACAUGUAGGAAAGAGAAAAGGGUUGCUGGUAUAGGUCCCUCCAAAUCUUGGAGUAAAGUAGAGGUCAGGAAGAAGAAAGACAAUGAAAGUUCUGAAUCUAAUGAGAAUGUUGAAGACGAUGUUCCAGACAUCUCCUCUGACAAAAGAAAGGCUGUAAAGAAAGUAGUUGCUGAGCAUCUAGACAAAUGGAGGUUUGUCACUGAUCAAACCAUCAGACAUGCCUCCACCAAUGCUGUAAAGUUACCCAUUGCAUUCCCAUCUAUCAUUUGUGGGAUCAUCCUGGGUCAACAACCAGGAAUCCUGAGUACAAGUGAUAUUCCAAGCAGGAGAAAAACUCCUUUGUCCAUUCAUUAUAAGUUGUUUGAGGGAAGUCAUGUCAAUGAUGUCAUGACAUCUGCCAGAAGGGAGUCUACAGCUAAAGGAAGCUUGAUUGACCAACUGAAAGAGAACUGCAAGGAAUUGGACAAUGGUAUAAGGGUGGCCAAGGCCAGAAAAGAAGCUCUAGAAGUUCUCAUCUGUAGCCUGGAAAGGGAAGACAUAGAAAAGGCUGGAAAAGACUCAAAUACAAGAUCCCAAUCCAGUUCUGAAAGCUCAGAAGACUCUGAAGGUGAAGCUGAAGAUGAAGAUGAAGGUGAAGGAGAUACUUCUUCUUCUGAUUAAUGGUUCCUGCCUGAAUUGAAGACUUGGAGGGGUGCUGGAAGGUGUGGUGGAAGCUGGGCUGCUGGUGCACAGGUGUCUGAUAUGGUGCACAGGUGUUGUUGUUGAAGCAGAUGUCAGUAUGACAUUCUGGCUGGUACAGGUGAUGGAGUUACAGUAGCUGUUUUUUGAUGAAUGCACAGAUUUAGGGGGGGAGAAGUACCCUUGUGCAUUGUGCAUUUGUGUGUCUUACUAGUUGCAUCCAUAACUAGUAAUUCUGUUGAUUGUUGCACAGAUUGAGGGGGAGGAGAAAUACCCUUGUGCAUGUGUGUAUUACUAGUAGCCAUAGCUAGUAAUUGUUUUUUGCUUCUGCUGCUGAUUAAACUACUGUUAUGUGGUUUAAACUGCUGAUAGUUUGCCUUGUGAACAAAAAGGACAGAUAUAUGUUUUAGCCAAAAUUUGCCAAAGGGGGAGUUUGUUGAUUCUAGUGUUGGCACAAUUUGGUAAAACAAAGAGUGUUCAAAGAUGUCAUGUGUGAUGUCUUAACAUGAGAUAUCCUAUGUACCUGCUGGAGUUAAAGAAGAUAUGCAAGCAGGAUUUUUCAUCAGAAUGCCACAUACAAAGACAAGGCUUCUGAUAUUGGUUGUACCUGCUGGAGCUUAACUGGAAGACAUAUUCAUGCAGGAUUGUUUCAGAUGACAUACACAAACUGUAACUUGGUAAAGUGUACGGAUAGUCUUUGAACUAAUUCUAUUAUAGUGGAUUUCCUUCCUGGCUUGGUAGCCCCCAAAUGUAGGUGAGUUGCACCGAACUGGGUUAACAAUUUCUUGUGUAAAAUGCUUUACAAUUCUGUUUAAAUUAUCCAUUGUGUAUUAACAGAUAUCAGUGUCGUGACAUUACCUUCGACAUCUUAUAUCUGAUACCAGAAUUUCAAAUUGUUAAACCCAUUGAAAAUAAUGACCCUAUGCCCUCUCCCAACUUUGAAUUUCCUGUGUUCUAAAUGGAAGAAGAGGAUGAUGAAGAGCUUCCUGAUGAGAUUUCUUAGUUGCUUGAGCACGAAGAAAAGACCAUUCAGCCUCAUAAAGAGCCGUUGGAAGUGAUUAAUCUGGGUUCCGAAGAUAACAAGAAAGAAGUCAAGAUUGGGGCACUGUUUUGUCCAGAUGUUAAGAAGAGUAUGGUAGAGCUUCUUAGAAAAUAUGUGGAUGUGUUUGCUUGGUCUUAUCAAGAUAUGCCAAAUUUUGAUACUGAUAUUGUGGAGCAUAGAUUACCAUUGAAGCCAGAAUGUCCGUCAGUUAAACAGAAAUUAAGAAGAAGUCACCCUGAUACGGCUGUCAAGAUUAAAGAAGAGGUGUAAAAGAAGAUUGAUGUUGGAUUCCAUGUUACUGCUUAAUACCCUCAAUGGGUAGCUAACAUUGUACCUGUUCCAAAGAAAGAUGGUAAAGUUCGGAUGUGUGUUGAUUAUAGAGACUUGAACAAAGCUAGUCCGAAAGAUGAUUUUCCUCUGCCACACAUUGACAUGUUAAUGAUAAUACAGCUAAGUCCAAUGUAUUCUCCUUUAUGGAUGGGUUCUCCGGUUAUAAUCAGAUCAAGAUGGCGCCCAAGGACAUGGAAAAGACAACAUUUAUUACACCCUGGGAAACAUUCUGCUAUAUAGUGAUGCCUUUCGGUUUAAAGAAUGUUGGUGCAACGUACUAGAGAGUCAUGACUACUCUUUUCCAUGAAAUGAUGCACAAAGAAAUAGAAGUUUAUGUUGAUGAUAUGAUUGCUAAGUCGAAGGCUGAAUAAGAUCAUGUUGAGUAUUUGUUGAUGUUGUUUAAGCGGUUGAGAAAGUUUAAACUCUGAUUGAAUCCUAAUAAGUGUACUUUUGGUGUCCGUUCAGGAAAACUAUUGGGUUUCAUUGUAAUCCAGAAAGGUAUUGAAGCAGAUCCUAAUAAAGUCAGAGUUAUUCAAGAUAUGUCUGCACCAAAGACAGAAAAGCAAGUUACAGGGUUCCUCGGAUGUCUGAAUUACAUAUCCAGAUUCAUAUCUCACAUGACUGUGAUGUGUGGGCAAAUAUUCAAGCUUCUCCGUAAAGAUCAAGGUUGUGUUUGGACAGAAGAUUUCCAGAAAGCUUUUGACAAUAUCAAGGAGUAUAUGCUUGAACUUCCUAUCUUGUCUCCUUCAGUGGAAGGAAGAUAUCUGAUUAUGUAUUUGACUUGUUAGAAGAGUCCAUGGGACGUGUGCUUGGACAACUAGAUGAAACUGGUAGAAAGGAGCAUGUCAUCUACUAUCUGAGCAAGGAGUUUACAAAUUGUGAAUCUCAGUAUUCCAUGCUUGAGAAGACUUGUUGUGGUUUAGCUUGGGCUACCAAACGUUUACGCCAGUAUAUAUCAAUCAUACCACUUGGUUGAUAUCCAAAAUGGAUCCAAUCAGGUAUAUUUUUGAAAAGCCUGCUCUGGAAGGAUAGCUCGUUGGCAAAUGCUAUUGUUUGAAUAUGAUAUUGAGUACCAUACUCAGAAGGCGGUUAAAGGAAGUAUUCUUGCAGAUCAUUUGGCUCACUAGCCAAUUGAUGAUUAUCAAUUCAUCAGGUUUUACUUCCCUGAUAAAGACAUUAUGUACUUAAAAGCUAAAGAUUACGAUGAACCGUUGCCUGAAGAAUGGCAAGAGCCUGCAUCUUGUUGGGGUUUAGUGUUUGAUAGAGUUAUUAAUGCUUAUGGUAAUGGAGUUGGGGAAAUCAUUUUUACUCCUAAGGGUUCACACGUCCCUUUUACUGCAAGAUUGAUGUUUGAUUGUACGAAUCAUAUGGCAGAAUAUGAAGCUUGUAUCAUGGGUCUUGAAGAGGCCAUUGAUUUGAGAAUUAAAAUCCUUGAUGUGUGUGGAGAUUCAGCCUUGGUGGUUAAUCAAAUUAAAGGAGAAUGAGAGACUCGUCAUCCUGGCUUGAUUCCUUACAAAGAUUAUACAAGGAGGUUGCCAACUUUCUUCAAUAAAAUAGAGUUUCAUCAUAUACCUCGUGAAGAGAAUCAGAUGGCAGACGCUCUGGCUACUCUGUCUUCUAUGUAUAAAGUAAAUCAUUGGAAUGACGCGCCCAGUAUCACAAUUAUGCUCCUUGAUAGACCUGCUCAUGUGUUUGCAGUAAAAGAAGUUACGGAUGAUAAGCCUUGGUAUCAUGAUAUUAAAGUUUUCCUCCAAAGUUAGGAAUACCCGCUUGGGGCAUCCAGCAAAGAUAAGAAGACUUUGAGAAGACUGGCUGGCAAUUUCUUUAUGAAUGAAGAUAUGUUGUACAAGAUAAACUUUGACAUGGUCUUGCUCAGAUGCGUGGAUAGACAUGAAGCAUACAUGUUAAUGCAAGAAGUUCAUGAAGGAUCCUUUGGUACUCAUGCCAAUGGACAGGCAAUGGCUAAAAAUAUGUUAAGGGCGGGUUACUAUUGGGUGACAAUGGAAUUUGAUUGUUGUAAAUAUGUGAAGAAGUGCCAUAAAUUUCAUAUUUAUGCUGAUAAGAUUCAUGUGCCACUGACACUUCUCAAUGUUAUCUCAUACCCAUGGCCUUUCUCUCUGUGGGGGAUCAAUAUGAUUGGUAUGAUUGAACCCAAAGCUUCGAAUGGACAUCAUUUCAUCCUGGUAGCUAUUGAUUACUUCACCAAAUGGGUUGAAGAAGCAUCUUAUGCUAAUGUGAUCAAGAAGGUUGUGGUCCAAUUUAUCAAGAAUCAGAUUAUUUGCCGAUAUGGUCUAUCAAGUAAGACCAUUACUAAUAAGGGUCGAACUUGAAUAACAAGAUAAUGAAAGAGCUUUGUGAAGACUUUAAGAUUUAACAUCACAAGUCUUCUCCUUGCAGACCUAAGAUGAAUGGGGUUGUUGAAGCUGCAAAUAAGAAUAUUAAGAAGAUUAUCCAGAAGAUGGUUAUGACGUAUAAAGAUUGUAAUGAGAUGCUCUCGUUCACUUUGCAUGGAUACCGUACGUUUAUCCGCACUUCAACAAGGGAAAUUCAUUUCUUUAUUGUGUAUGCAUGGAAUCCGUACUCCCUGUAGAGGUUGAGAUACCAUCAAUGCGAGUCCUGAUGGAAGCCAAUUUAUCUGAGGUUGAAUGGUGUUAGAGCAUAUAUGAUCAGCUGAAUUUGGUUCAAGAGAAGAGACUGACGGCCUUAUGUCAUGGCUAGUUAUAUAAAAAGAGAAUGAAGAAAGAAUUUGACAAGAAAGUUCGACCCCGCGUAUUCAGAUAAGGUGACCUUGUGCUUAAGAAGAUCUUGUCUUUCAACACUAAUUCUAGGGGCAAGUGGACUCCUAAUUAUGAAGGCCCGUAUGUUGUUAAGAGAGCUUUCUCUUAUGGUGCAUUGAUUCUUACAACUAUGGAUGGUGAGGAGCUCCCUCAUCCUGUGAAUGUCAAUACAGUCAAGAAAUACUUCUCCUAGAAAAAUAAAAGAAUAACUCACUAAGUUGAAAACCCGAAAGGGAGGCUUAGGAAAAAAUGAACAUUUCGGUGGAUUGAAAACCCGAAAGGGCGGUCCAGGAAAAAAUUAGAGACAUAAAUAUAAAAUAAUCACCCUCGGUAGAUUGACCCCGAAAAAGGAAAUCUAGGCAAAAGUUAGGGAUUAUGGCAAGUAAUUGCAUCAGGCCAGUUUGAAGCAACAAUGCCUAUCACAUGUUCCUUUUCCGUCAUCCUCGACCGAAGUCCAGAGCAUAGUGGAAUUCAAAGUUGUUAGGGAGAAUAGCAGUCAUUAUAUCUCAAUGUAUCCCUUUCCGUGUAUUUACCAUUUUCCAACUUUAUAAUGAUUCGUGGAGUCACACCAUUUGUGGACUCCAUCAAUAAAAUUUGAGUAUUUUGCCCAUUUGUUUGUUAUUCUUAUUUUGUUUUAGUUUAGGAAAUUUCAUUUAUUAUUUACCAUCAUUUUUGAAGCAAAAUAUAUAUUUAAACAAUCAUAUUCUUAAAAAUUUACAAAAAAAGAUAUGUAUUUUCCUCGACUUGUGAAUACAAAAGAGGAAUCUUAAUGGUAAUUCCAAGGAUGGUAAGAUCCUGAAGAAUGGAAUUCAGUGACUUCCCCAGGCCAAAUUUUCUUUUGUUACGUAUAAUAGUCUCCCCUGGAUCAGAUUGCGAGAAUGGUAGAAUCCCUAACGAAUCUCUUCCAGCAUCUCCAUCUUGUUCAGAUUAGUCAAGUAUCCGGUUGUACUAUGUUAUCAAUCUCACACUUUUGUGCUUGUUUUGUCAACAUAAUCAUACGCAUGUGCAUAUCAUCAUGAGGUUUAUUUACCAUUUUGCAUUUCUCGAUGCUCCCCCUGCUCUCUGGAACUUUUCUCCCCACAGAGUGUGUGCGUCUUCUCUCCAAUAGAGUGUCAACCUUAAGCAGAAAGAGUUUAUCUUUUCUAAUUCCCCACUGAGUUUGAUCCUCAUGGAAGAUUUUGUUUCAAUUUUUCUCUCCAGUUCAUUAUCUGGAUGGAAUCAAUCUCCAGUUGAGUUCAUGUCCUCAUUGGAUUGAGUCUUCUUUGACCGUUUCUCUCCAGUUCAUUCCUGGGUUGAACUUUGGUCCCUUUUGAGAUUAUUACCUUUGUUAAGCUAUCACUUGGCUUAUAGUAGGUAAUAUCUCUUUUGCCUUUGGCUUAUUACCUUUGUUAAGCUAUCACUUGGAUGAUAGUAGGUAAUAUCUCUUUUACCUUUGACUUAUUACUUUUGUUAAGCUAUCGCUUGGCUGAUAGUAAGUAAUAUCUCUUUCACCUUUGGCUUAUUACCUUUGUUAAGUUAUCACUUGGCUGAUAUUAGGUAAUAUUUCUUAUCUUUGGUUGGUUACCUUUGUUAAGUUACCACUUAGUUGGUAGUUGGUAAUCAUUAUGUUUUGGCUUAUUACCUUUUUUAAGUUAUCACUUGACUGAUAGUAGGUAAUGAUUCCUCUUACCUUUGUUUGGUUACCUUUGUUAAGCUAUCACUUGGCUGUUAGUUGGUAAUCAUUCCAUUUUAGCUUAUUAUCUUUGUUAAGCUAUCACCUGGUUGAUACUUAGGUAAUAUUCCUCUCAUAUUGGAGUUGGAGUUUUCCCCUUUUGAUGAUUUCUUUUCCCUGGCGAGGUCUUGCUUUGAUAAGUAUUUCCCCGUUGGAUCUUUAGUUUGUUUUCUAAUUGUGCAUUGGUUAUUCUCGAGUCUUUCCUUUUCCCCUACGGAAUUUUGUUUGUCCCUAGCCGGGUAUCCCUGUAGAAACUAACCCCCCCCCCCCACAACCCACACACACACACACACACAGAGAUAUUUUGGUUUGCAUUCAUAUCAUAUCAUAAGCAUCUUGCGGUAUCUUAAGGCCAAAAAAAUGGGUCUUUAAUAUUUAAGUCUCUUUAAUCUUUUCGAGACAAAGAUUUCAACCUUCAUAUCUCUAAAUUGAAGAAACUUAAAUAGGGUCAUCUGUCAUACCCUAAUUUUUAACCCUAAGAUCCCACAUAUCAUUUGCAUCAUUUGCACACAAACAAUAUCACAUCUUGGUCCUUUAUCCAUCUUUAGGUUUGCUUUUUGUUGGCUUAUUUUACCUUUGUGUUUACAUGAUUAAUUUCUUAUCUAACCACUGAUCAAAAUAGCAAAAAAUAUGUAUUGUUUCCCUUAAGUUUAUUAUGAAAGGUAAUGGUUUUUCAAUCAAAAUCAUCUCAAAGUCUUUGGCUUACUUUUCAAAGAAAGUCAAAGGUUCAUGUGUUUAUUUCCAUGCCUUCUUCAAUAAGCAACUUCAAGCUUUGAUAAAUUUAAGCAAUAGGAAAUCAAGGACACCUUAUCUUGAGUUCAUAUGAUCACCCAUGUGCUUUGAAAUUCAAGGAAAGUCCAAGUACACAAGCUUGUUCCAAGAGGUUUGACCAAAAGUCAACCAUUUUAAGUCAAAGUUCCAAGGAUCAUAACUCUUUCAAUUCUCAACAUUUUUGAAUUCUUCUUUUUGCAUAUGACUAUUCUCAACAUCUUAUACAACUUCUCUUUACAUGACAAGAGCCAAUUAUGCUCGGAGGAUCAUCAAAUGUUUUGAGACAUUAUAGGUCAUUUGUGGACUUAGUGAAAUUUAACCUAUUUUCAAAUGACUUUUUCCCAACUUUCAAAGACCAUAACUUCUUAAAUUUUCAACAUAUGUGGCUGAUUAUUUUUGCACAAUAUCAUUUGUGAUGCCAUCUACAAGUUUUCUUCAAGGACCAAGGUUAGAAUAUGCUUUGAAGGUCAUGGAAUUCAUUGAGACAUUACAAAUUAUUUUCAGCCAUGAAGUACUCAAAUGUUUCUAAGUUAUAUGAUCGGUUUUUCAUGUCAACUUCAACAUGACAUAACUUUAUGCUCAAGCUUCCAAAUUCAACCUUUAUUGGCACAUUGUAAUCUUUUCCAUGAUAUUAACACAUUUCAAAAAGAAUGGGAUCAAAAAGUCUCCUGAGUAGAGUACCCCAUUGGGUUGAAUAUGGUGACUUGUAACUGAAGAAAUAGCCAUUGCCAGAGUCUUGAACUUCAUUAAUCUCAAUUACAAGCCAAAUUUGCAUGUGUUUUGGACCUAAACAUGUUUAACCAAGUCUCCAGAAGAUAAUUAACUCUUAAAAUGCAUCAUUUGGCUGAGUUUUGAGGAGUUUCAAGUCACACUUUUCUCACAUUCAGAUCAAAUUCAUUUUGCAUGAAUUCUGCAUCAUUUCACACGUAUUUGGAUCCAAUCAUAUUCCUUAUAAAUAUAGGGAGCUAUUGCAUUCAUUUCCAAGCUUUGGAGAGCCAAGAAAUCCCUACUGCAACUUGAAAUUUUUCCAGAAAAUACAACGAUCGUGUUUUGAGUUUCAGCUUGUUUCAAUCUAAUUUCUUGAUUCCAUUAGCACCUUCGGAAUCCUCUGAAACUUUUGCAACAAUUCCCAAAUUCUGAGACCUUCUGAAGUGCUCUAACCAGAUCUAGUUUCAUCAACUUCUGAUCACCAUUUGGAUAAGGUAGUUCUGAGCAUCAUUUGAACUCAAACAAGUUACCAUAAUCUGAUGAUUUCCCCUAACUUAUUUGGUGUUGAUUGAUCGUGUUCAUCAUUUAAUUUUAUUUUUCGUGGCUUGCUUGUUUCUGAAACUUCUAUGAAAUUCCCUUUGCUCAGUUUACAUAAAUGAAUUUGGAGCAUGAGGUUGAAUUCUGGAUGAGAAGAGGAUCACAAUUGUGGUGGUCUCGUGUUUUGAAUUUACCAAACGACGAAGCUCCAGUGAGAGCUCACCAGAGAAGACGGCCGUAUUUUUCUCAGGUUGUCUGAGUUUGGUCAGACACGUUUGAGGAAUGAAAUAUUAUGAUUGGUUGGAUUUAAAUUGGAUUCUGUGUUUGACUUAUAGCGCAUUUCAUCGUGUUCUCUAACAUAUGAAGUGUUGGAUCUGCCACGUCAAUUAAUGAGGUGUGAUCCAACGUUCCGUGUUUUUUAUGAUUUUAAUUCUUUUUCUUUUAUUAUUUUUAAUUUCUUUUUCUUUUAAAAUUCAUAGUAAUUUCAUUUUUUAUCCAAAAUAAUUUCUAAAAUUCUCUUUUGUUUUUCUUCAUCUGAUUUUUAUUUUUUCACAUUUUAUUUCACUGAUUUUCUAUUUUUCAUGAAUUUUGUCUUUUCCCCUUUGUUCUAAUUGGUUUAAAAAUAAUUUUCUGCAUUUUUAAAUUCUGAAAAUUUUAUUAUAUGCUUUUUAUUUCAUUUCCAACCUUCCAUAAUAUUCUUAGCCAUUUAUUUGGUGUUUUGAAGGACUUUAUGGAUUUUCCAUUUUAUUUCUAUUUUAAAAUUACUUUUGGUGCAUUUUUUAUUUCAUUUAAUUUCAUUUUAUAUAUGUGAACUUCUGUUGGCCAUGGACCAUGAUGGUUUGGACUUCAAGUUUCAUCAAACUCAAUGGAUCUUGGGUGUUGAUGGGGUGAGUAUCCUAAUCCAUCAAAAUGGAUGAUUGAUUUUGAUGAUGACUUGAUCAAACCUUUGGUCCAAUUUGGGUAUGACUUUUCUUGUCUCCUUCUUCUUCAUAUUUUUCUUUUCCCUUUGAUCAAUUGGAUGACUUGUGUCCAUCUUAUUCAUGAUGUAUGGAUUGGUACUUGAUAAACUUUCGUCAUUUCAAAUCUACCUCCUAAUUGAUCAUGGAUCAUUUAAGGUACUUUAGAUUGAUGCAUAAGUUUGCCUUAUGUGUCAUGAAGUAUGGAUUGAAGUAAUGGACCAUCCUCCUAGCCUUCGUGCUUGAUCAUCCCCUUUCUUUCUUUCUUUUUUUAUGGCAUUACUUUAGGAGAAUGAUUUACAUGUCAUUUCUUUAUCAUGUAUUAACACAAACCUUAUUAUUGAUCGGCCUCGGAUAGUUGUGACUUCUACAUAAGUCCAAUUACGAUUGUUUAACAUAGCACUAAAUUUGUCCCAAAAGUAAAGGCAUUUUUAUAAGUGAGAUUGUAAGUCUUUUAUUCCUCAUGGUAUUUUGUGAAAAUGUUGCUACUUUUCCAUUUGUGAGAGCUAGUAGUAUACUUGUUGAUCCUUAUCCAAGUUAGAUCUCUUCUCAUGAUAAUGCAAAGUUCUCAUACUUGUGGGUGACUAGUUGAGUAUUCUCCUUAAAGUGACAAAAUGUCUUUCCAUUAAAAAUGAAUCAAAACAAACACCUUUGUCAUUUUUACCACGAACUACGGGGUUUUGAUCCUCCAUUGCACUUUGUUGGUACGUAGGCAUGAGACUUCAAAAGUCUUGGCAAACACAAAAAUAAGAAAAAUAUACUUCAUUUCCCAUCUCUCCAAUCUUUUGCAAAUAACACCCUUUUCAAACCAAAAUGUACAUAUUUUCAAAGAGGUUCCCAUGGAAUACCAUGGAUGUUUAGGGUGAUAAUACCUUAUCUUUGUAUAACUAACACCCAGACAUUUGUUCUCUUUUUAUUAGUUUUGUUUUAAAACUUCUUCGGGUUUUGUUCAUACUUUUUUCCUUUUCCUUUGGAAACAAUAAAGGCGUGGUGGUGACUCUUGCUUUAUGAGUUAAGUUAAUCGAUAGCUUAAUCUCAAAAAAUUUACCGCUACAGCGUAUGGAGGCCCAAAUUGCUGAAGCCCAAAAACACUGUCUAUUUAACUGGAAAAUGAGAACUUUCACUAGUUGGACGAUUUUAGACGGCAAAAACAUGUUUUGAAGGUUGGAGAACUCAGAUUUUCGAGGUGGAUUCAUAUUUUCUAGAGCUUUUUGAGAUUGAAUAUCAAUUCAUCUAAUUUUUUUGUAAUGGAGACAUUAUUUAUCAUGUUUUAUUUUAUUUCUAUGGGUACCUAAACCCCCCAGUGCUAGGGGGUGUCCCUGAUUCAGAUUUGUAAUGAAUUCAAAUUCCUCUUUGCAAUAACAACCUUAUUUUAUCAUACUUGAUUUAUUCUCUUGACUGAUUUAGUGCUUUCUCUGUUGCAUAAACUGAGUUUGAUUUAUGAUGAACAAUAAGGCUAGACUUCCAUUGUUCAGGAUCUGUUUGAGAAUAUUUUAUAGUAAAUGUCGCCUAGGACUAGGGAUACCCUAUAAAAACCGGAUUAUUCUUGAUAGAAUAAUGCUUAAUUUCAUUCGUACUUUUCUAUGGAUAUAGGAGUUAGGCUGAAUGAUUAAAGGUUUUCUUACUAAGGACUUAGGAGUAAACACUUGUAAGAAUCGGUAAUUAAUUAUCUAAAAUAUGUUGUUGCAAUGUUAGUUUAGAGUCGUCACAUAAUUGAAUCAUACAUUAUCCCUAACAUAUUACUCAUAUCUUUAUAGACCAUACAAUUACUUUGUUUACUUUAUUCACAAUUACUUUCAUAAUUUAACCAAUCAAUCCAAAAACCCUAAUGCUUUUAUUUAAUUGAAAUUUAUCCAAAACUUUGUAUCGUCAAGCAGUCCUUGAGAUCGAUACUGGGGAUUUCCCCUCUUAUUACUACAUUGGCAAAUUAGUACACUUGCUAAUUUACUGAUCAAUAACUUCCUUCAUAACCAUCAACACCAGUAGGACACAAACAUGAUGGACGAGUUAGAGGUAUUAGAUCCCAAGCCUCUAUUUGGUGAGAUAUGGGAGGUGCCGAUCCCAGGGAACUUCAAGUUGCCAUUUAUGGCUAAGUUUAACGGACGCGGUGACCCAUAUGAACAUGUAGCAUCCAUCAAAUUUUAUAUUGCCAUAAUUGGGUAACAUGACUCCUUAAAGUGUAAGCUCAUGUCUGGAACCUUCAGAGUCACAAAUAUGAGAUGGUUUAUGGGCCUCCCUGAAUCUCCGUAACCAACUAUCAAGACUUGGUGAAGAAUUUGAUUCAUCAAUUCUUCACAAACAAGCAUAGGAAGAUGAUCGGCACCAGUCUAUUCAACAUUCACCAAGGUCCCUUGGACUCACUGAGGGAGUAUCUAUCCCACUUCAACGAAGCAACAAUCAAGGUAAUCCAUCCAAAUCAGGAAAUAUUCCUAGGAGAAACUAAGUCUCUUCAGGAUGACUUAACUAAGUCUCGCCUGAAGGACUCAACUAAGUCCCAUAUAAGGGACUCAACUAAGACUCACUGAGAAGACUCAACUAAGUCUCACCUGAGGGGCUCAAAUAUGUCUCGUUGGGAAGAAUAAACUAAGUUUCACCUGAGGGACUCAACUAAGUCUCGCUUGAGGGACUCAACUAAGUCUCGUCAGGAAGACUCAACUAAGUCUCUCUUCAGAGGCUCAACUAAGUCUCUCCUGAGGGAAUCAAUUAAGACUCGUCGAGAAGACAACUAAGCCUCGCCUGAAAGACUCAACUAAGUCUCAUUGGGAAGAAUCAACUAUGUCUUGCUUAAGGGAUUCAACUAAGUCUCGUCAGGAAGACUCAACUAAGUCUCGCCUGAGGGACUUAACUAUGUUUCGUCAGGAAGACUUAAUUAAGUCUUUCCCGAGGGACUCGUCUAAGUCUCAUUUGAGGUAUAUAACUAAGUCUUGCAUGAGGGACUCAAUUAAGCCUCUUCAAUAAGACUCGACUAAGUAUUUCCUGAGGGACUCAACUAAGUCUCGUCGGGAAGAUUCAACUACGUCUCGCUAUAAGGACUCAACUAAGUCUCGUUAGGAUUAUUCAACUAAGUCUCGUCUAAGGGGCCUAAAUUUGUCUCGCAUGAGGGAAUCAACUAAGUCUCACCUGAGGGACUCAACUAAGUCUCAUCAAGAAGGUUCAGCUAAACCUCGUCCAGAAGGUUCAUCUAAAGCCUAAAAAAUUAAAGGUAAUAGUCAAGAUUCGACUAGGAUUUCGUGGAAAGUUUGAAUAUGAGUAAGGGAUUAAAACACUUCGGACUCUACGAGUCCAUGUACUUGAGGGAAUGUGUAGUGGUGUAUUGUAAGGGAUCAUGGGGGCGGGUCAGAGGCUUAUGCUUCACCCAUCGUUAUUUCCAAGUUGCCUUUUUAUUGGUUAGAGUGCCCCUCUUUCAGAUAGAGUAUCCCUUAUCUGAUACAUCAGUUGGUUGUUUCCCGUCUCCUUCCAUAAAGUGAAAUCGUACAUAAAACGGGUAUUUGGUAAACAAACAUUACAUGGGAAGUUGUGGGAUUUAACUAUACUUUCUGGAUUUUAGGGAAUCAACUACCCAUUUUUGGAGUGGUUGCUACGUCUUAGGGAGACUUGGGUUAAGGCUUAGGAGAUUAUAAAUAAAUAAGUAUUAUGAUAAACAAUAGUAUAUACACAUAAAUACAUACAUACAAGAGCUUCUCAAUCCAUCUUAAUGACUAGGGGUUGUCACCCAUUUAUACUUUUCGCAAGUACAAUAUUGAAGACUAAUUUUGACAUCUUGUAACAUAAAUAUAUUAUAUUUCACAAUUUUUUCAAAAAAAAAAUGUAUCUUAAAAAUAAUUUUUAUAAAAAAAAACUAUUUGAAAGCGAUUUUUUUUUAAAUUAUGAUAUCUAAAAAAUGGUAUAGUAAAAUAAUUAAAUAUUUUAAAAAUAACUAUUUAAACUAAUUUUUUUAAUGUUAUGAGGUAAUUGAUAAUUCAAGUGUUGUAACUGUUACCACGGGCGUGUAACAGGUCACAAUUGUGUGAAAAAGUAACACGAAUGUUAAAAAAAGGGAAAUUCUCGUUGGUGUAACCGAUUACGCAUUCUCAGUAACCGGUUACCCCUAUUUUAUUUUUAGAGUUUGUUUCAACUGUAACUUACAGGUACGAGAUUUUCAGUUUUCUGUUAUUUUUCAUGUUGUAAAUUGUGUUCCAAUCCAUUUGUAAUUGUAUAUGUACCUUGGAGGUAUUAUGAAUGAAAACUAAUGAUAUUUCUCACCCUCAAUUACUCUCUCUCUCUCUCUCUCCACGUUCAAUUUCUCCAUUAUUCACCAAACUUGUGGUUCCAAGUUCUAACAUUUGGUAUCAAUAGCCUAGUUCUAAUCCACAAACACCUAGUGUGCAACAUGAAUUUGUCUCCAAUAAAGAAUAAAUGAAAACCUACCCAUCAUUUAUGCGAAGAAUUAUGAAAAAUGGUGCAAACAAAUAAAGAUGUUGUUUGGCUACCAAUAUGUUUUUGAAGUGAUCAAGAAUAGGGUGAAUCCUCUUGUCGAAGGUGUAACUGAUGCACAAUGAGCAAUAGAUAAUAAAGAGAAGAAGAAAGGUUUCAAGGCAUUUUUUUAUCCACUAAUGUGUGGAUGGUGAAAACUUUGAGAAAGUUAGUGAUUGUGAAUCAUUGAAGCAAGCGUGGGAAAUCUUAGAGAAGGCAUACGCAGGGGAUGACAAGGCAAAGGUGGUGAGGUUACAAACUCACAAACGCCAACUUGAAUUGAUUCAAAUGGAAGAAAAGGAGACGACCAAUGAUUUCACAAUGAGAAUCACUCGAUAAUUGAAUCAUGUGAAGGCAUGAGGAGAAACAGUCACGGGGCAAUAUGUUUUCGCGAAAAUCUUGUAUUCUUUAACGUCAAGAUUUGACAAUGUGGUCGUAGUGAUUGAGGAAUCGAACGACCCUGUGAUAUUAGCAAAUAGGAGCUAUAAAGCUUUCUUGAGACUCAUGAGCAAAGGAUGGAGGAGAGAAAUUAUGAUAAGGCAAAGAUGGAGCUAGCUUUGGAAGCUUGUUUCAACGAGAUGGACAAGAGAUCGAAAGGAAAAUGGCCCAUGAAGAGUAAAGGGAAUUUUUUAGAAUUUUGGUGGAAGAGAGUCCUAAAGUUCCAAGAAUUCGACUUGUUAAAGGGGUGAGAACACGUGCAACAAAAAUGGUGGUCAAGGAAACUUUAGAGGUGAAAGGAAAAGUAUUGAUAAAAGCAAGGCGUGGUGCUUUAAAUGUCAAAUGUUCGGCCAUUUUGAAAAAGAGUGCAAUACAAACAAGAAGGAACCUCAAGGAUAUGGAGCCAAGGUUAUAAGACAAGUGUUUGAUGAGGAGAACACACUUUUCAUCAUGAUCACAUAGGGGGGAUGCAGUAGCAGCAUGCUGCGGGACAGCAGCAACGACAAUUUUGGAAACGCUGCAGAAGCAUGUUGUAAUCGGUUAGUAAAAGUUGUAAGUUACAAGAAGAAGAAAAUGUCAUGAUGAGUACGAAAGGUGCAGUUCAGUACAUCAAUAAAUGGUAUAUGGACUUUGGAUGUUCUAAUCAUAUGAUGGAGAGGAAAUAUUGGUUUGUUAAAAUCAAUCAUGCCAUGAAUAACAAAGUGAAGUUCGUGGAUGACACCACUAUAGUAGUCGAUGGGAUCGGUGAUGUUUUGAUCGUGAGAAGGGAUGGUGGGCAUUACUUGAUCAAAUAUGUAUUGUACAUUCUAGAAAUUAAAUGUAACCUUCUAAGUAUUUGGUCAAUUGCUUGAGAAGGGUUACAAGAUUCACACGGAAAGCAAAGGACAACACGUUAUGGAUGCAAACAGGGUUUUAGUCCUUAAAGUUCCUAUGGCUUCCAAUAGAACUUUAAAGUUUGAGUUGAAGGUUAUAAAGCAUAGGUGUCUUGCUACAGCGACUAUUCAAGAAGAAUGGAUAUGGCAUUGUUUUAUUGGGCAUCUUAAUUUUCGAGAUCUCAAUGCAUUGCAAAAGAACAAAAUGGUAAUGGGGUUUCCAUUGAUAAACAUACUGGCUGAAAUUCGUGAUAAAUGUGUGCAAGCGAAGCAACAUAAGGGUGAAUUCAACAAGUAUGUAGGUUAUAGAACUAAGAGUCACCUUGAGGUGGUGUAUUUGAAUGUAUAUGGACCAAUGCAAGUUGACUCGAUUGGUGGUUAUAGAUAUUUUGUCACAUUCACCGACAAUCAUAGUAGAAAGCUAUAGACAUACCUAAUCAAGAGAAAGGAUGAGGUAUUUGAAGUGUUUAAGAAGUUUAUGUCCAUGAUUGAGAGGCAAAGUGAUCACAAGCUCAAAGUUCUCAAAACGGAUGAUGAAGGCGAAUAUGUCUCAAAAUACUUUGAGAGAUUUUGUGAUCAAGAAGGGAUAGUACAUGAGGUUGUACCACCUUAUACACCGCAACAAAAUAGUGUCGCCGAAAGGGAUAAUCUAUUGAUUAUGAACAUGGUAAGAAGCAUGUUAAAGGGGAAGAACUUACCGAAAGAGUUAUGGGGAGAAGCAUUAUCCACAAUUGCAUAUUUGUUGAAUAGGUGUCUGAAAAAGAAGCUUGAGAAGGUAACACCAGAGGAAGCAUGGUCAGGAUUCAAACUGAAUUUGAACCAUUUGAAAUUUUUUGGUUACGUAACGUAUUGACAUGUUCCGGGGCAGCUUAGAAAGAAGUUUGAUGAUAAGGGAGAGUUAAUGAUACUUGUAGGGUAUCACUCUACCAGUGCUUACAAGUUGUAUGAUUCAGCAAACAAGAGGAUUAUGAUCAACAGAGACGUCAUUUUUAACGAGAUCAAGCAGUUCUAGUAUCUUGUGACUGGUUAUGUAAAAGCUCUAACCAGUUACAGCAUUGAAAAUUCAGUUUCUGCAGAAUUUGAGAGUGCAAAAAUGGUCGUCGUCGAAGCUUGAAUUGAAUAGAAUGUGAGAAGAUCAACAAUGCAAAGAGGUUUGCCUAAAAUACUCCAAUAUUGUAAGAUGUUCUGAAACAGAGAAGUCAAUGAUGAGGGUGAUUUCUUCCAUUGUUCACUUAUGGCCGAAUUGAAACCCGUUAAAAUAGAAAAGGCUUUAAGUGAUCCAGAAUGGAUUUGUGCUAUGAAGGAUGGGCUGGAAUCUAUUGAGAAGAACAAUACUUGGGAUUUGUUUGGUCUACCGGAUGGGAAUAAGCCAAUUGGUGUGAGAUGGGUGUUCAAAGUGAAGGCAAAUAUCAAGGGUCAAAUAAUCAAGCAUAAGGCUCGAUUAGUUUCAAAAGGAUUCUUGCAAAGAUAAGGCAUAGACUUUGAAGAGGUAUUUGCAUCGGUUGCUAGGAUUGAAACCAUUAGGCUAGUUGUUGGUAUUGAAAAUAAUAAAAAUUUGCCCAUCUAUAAAAUGGACAUUGAUCCGCUGUCGUGCACGGGUUAAAACGAGUAAUUAAAAACAGUAGGUUAAGGAAGCAACACUCGAGAGUCAUAUCGCAAGGACUCUUGAAUUGAAUUUUACCAACUGAAAAUGAUGGGGGUUUUAAGGUUUAGGUUUUGAAUAAAAUAACAGUAAAAAGGAUUUGAUUACAAAUAAGCUAAAAUGGUUAAUCCUACUGAUUUGGGUUUCGACUUAUCAUUGGCUAUUCUAAAUCCAAUCCCCUAAGAGGCUUCGAUUCUAUUCGAAUAUGAAAUCAAUUAGACAAGCGUUAUCAAUAUCAUGUGAGUUAUGUUCCUAUUUACCUCAUUAAGCAUGAAAAUUUAAAGAUUACGCUAAGCUAACAUACAAGCUAAGUUAACAUGCAAUUAAAAUUAGGAACAUGCAUACAAUCAAAUUUUAUCACUUUUAUCCUAUGAGUAGCAAUCAAAUUAAGAAAACAAAAUUGAUCAAAUUAAGAAAACGAAUACAUAGGUAGAAUUGAACAUAAAAAAAAUUGAAUUGGAAUUAAAAUAACCUCAAAAUGGUGGAACCCCUAAUCAGCAGAAUUUGCCUUAAGGAUUAGUUCUCCAUGAAAAUCGUACAAAGCUAGGAAUUUCGUGAAUAGUGAAUAAUGUGUAUGAACAAUAUCCGUGGCUUAUUUAGGUUAACGGAAACAAAGAAUUCGGGUUUUAAUCCCAACUGGAUCAGAAAACAUAAAAACCGGCCCAAAACUGGCACAAAACUAAUUAUUUUCUAAAGUUUGAAACUAAAACGAUUUAUUCGAGUCUUUUACACUCCGAAUUUGCUUCUGACUUCAACAUGAAACUUUUAUCUUAUCCUCUCAGAUUUCCAACGCUUAUUAGAACGCGUCAAUCUAAUUCUCAUAUCCCAAGUUAUUACCUAUGAAGCGAGAGGGCAUAAGUAGUUUUUUAUUCAGAACAUACCAUGCGAAAUUAAAAUAAAUGUAAAAAUAAACUAAGCUAAGGAAACUAAGCUAUGAAAGUAGAAUUGUUGCAACAUAAUAGUAAAAGAAUGUGAGUGAAAAUGCACUGAAUAAAUUCCCCCACACUUGAACUUUUGCACUCCAAACAAAAUUCUAAAGUUAAAAUUCAAAACAAAAAAAUAGGAAGAAAACAGAGCAUGCAAAUUCAAAGACUUUCAAAAUCACAAGGGUGCAAGUAAAAUCCUCAUUCUAAGCUUCAAGAAAUAUGGUGUUAGUGAGUAAAAUUCAAUGAUAUUCAAAGGAAGUAAGAAGAUAAUUUACCAAAGAGUAUAUCAUAAGCAGCAAGAUCCUCAUGAAAAAAUUCUCUCAACUCUCAAGUGUUUAGGUUUCUAUUUAAACUCAAAGCACAUCAUGAAAACUAGCACUGCCAUAAGCUUGAAAAGACUACAACAUACACAAGUUAAAUACAUGCAUACAAAGAUGAAAAGGACUUUCAUUAGGGUUGUAACUUGGCCAAGGUAAGAAUAAGAUAGAUCCUAAGGGAUACUAGGCUAUAAUUCAAAAGGUUAAAAGAAAAUUGAAAGAAACUGUGGGAGUUGAACUAAAUAAAACUUCAUUCACUUUCAAACAACAACCUUGCAGUUAUUUAUCUUCUCUUUUUUAUUUUUAUUCUUCUUCUUUUUUUCUGAAGGAAUAUGUAUUGUCAUCCUUCUUUUCUUUUUCUAUUUUUUUUCUUUUUCUAUUUUUUUCUUUUUCUAUUUUUUUCUAUUUUCUGUCAACUUUUGAAUGAAAUAUCACAACUAUAAUUAUUCAACCCCACACAACUUCAAACAAGACUCUUUCAACCCUUUGAAUAGGGUGAUAAUAUUGAUUUCCACUUUUUGGCUUGUAAUGAGUUUUAAACAAAGAAUGGGAUAAUAGGCUCAAGGGGUUUUUAAACAAGGGAUGAUAUAUUCAGGGUUAGCUUUUUGGCUAACUAGCUAAAAAAAUAAGUUGUAUUUAUCAUAUUAGUGUGCACAAGUAAACAAAAAACUUCAACAAGAUUCAAUUCAAGUUCUAGAGACUAACAUACAUGAGUGAAACACACAAGAAAUAAAAAGAUGGAUUUUUGAAUGUUAUCUAAUAUUAGGCUCAAAAUUGAACAAGGUAAAUGAUCUACUACAAAUGAUGAAUAAUUAAGGGUUUAGUCCUACCUAUCAUACUAGGAAUGCAUAGCAAAUCAAUCACGUCACACCACGAGUCUUUAACCAAUAGAACAGAGAAAUUACUCACACAACACUUGCAACCUAAAAAUCAAUGAAAAAGCAUGCAAUUUUUUUUUAAGAAAACAACAAAAAAAAAACAAAAAAAAACAAGGAAAAAUAAAAUGGUUCCCUCCCCCACACUUAAGAUACAUAUUGUCCUUAAUGAAAUAACAUAAGUAUAAAAUAAGAGAGAGAGAGAGAGAGAGAGAGAGAGAGAAGAGAUAGAAAAUAACACACCCGAGGAGUCAAGACGGAUACAUGAUUGCAUAAGCAGUCUUUCCCAAAGAUAGCUCUUCUACAAUGUCUUCUUCCAAAGUGGGACUCUCAUGGAGUAGUCUUGGGCAGUGUCCAUUGUUCUUGAAAUUUUUAGUAGUGCGUUCAUCUUUUAUUCCAGGAUCAAAGAAGGAUCUUCCAUAAGUAAAAUUGUCGAAUGGGCAAAUGAAAGUGGUCUCGUUUUUCACAACAUCGAGAAUCAAAGGAUUAAGGGGUUGCCUCACUACUUUUGUUUUAUCUUCAAGUGAGAACCUAUGGAUACUCAUAGAUGGGCUAAUGUCACGAAUGUCAACCAAGGUCCAUCCAAUUCCUUUUUUAUGUUCCUGCAAUAAUUUAUCUUCCUGCUCAAAUUGAAGCUUCGAUGAAUAAUAUAAAUCCUAGGGAAGUGGUUUAGGUUCAAAUAAGGUGGUUGUACAAUGGAUGGUUUGGCUGGGGCAGCUGGGAUGUCGAAAGCUUCAAUUGUAUAAACAGUUUCAGGUGCAUAAACAGCUUUAUCUACAACUUCAUCUGUAGAAAAAAUAUCAACCUGCAAGGUAACCUCGUCUGUAGGAAAAAUAGUAAGUAUCAUCAAAAUCAGACAAUGAUGAGAAAUCAGCUGAAAAUAAGUCAGAAUAAGUAUGAUCAACAAACUCAGAAAGCAAUUCAAUAUGAAAAACAAAAUGUUCCUCCAUGGGAUGUUUCAUAGUAUCAAAAGUGUUAAAUUUAACAAUGGUAUUAUCAAACUCCAUGGACAUUGUAUCAUCAUCAACGUCAACUUUUGUUUUUGCUAUUUUCAUUAAUGGUCUGCCUAAAAUGAUGGGUGCCAUGUUUGACCUAGUUUCUCCUUCCAUGUCCAAAAUGUAAAUAUCAUAAGGAAAAAUUAAGUCAUUAACUUGAACAAGUACAUCUUCUACUACUCCAGCAGGACGGACAUUGCUCCUGUUUGCCAACUGAAUGGUUAAACAUGUAUUCUGAAAAGGACCAAGAUCAAGAUUAUUAUAAACAGAAGUGGGCAUAACAUUAAUAGAAGUUCUUAAAUCCAAGAUGCAACUUUUGAAUUUACUAUCCCCGAUGGUGCAUUGAAUAGCAAAAGUUCCAGGAUCCUUGCACUUUUGGGGCAUGGCCUAGGUGGGAGCUGAAACAUUUUGCUUAGUUGUAUCUUUUUCAGGUGCUUUAGGUUGAAUGAAGACAGAAAAAUUUCUUCCCACAUUCACUCUCUCAUUCCCCUUCAAUCUCCUCUUAUGAGUGCAUAAGUUUUUAAGAAACUUGGUAUAUUUGGGAAUUUGCUUAAUUACAUCAAGAAACUGAAUGUUCACCUCCACCUUUCUGAAUAUGUCCAAUAUCUCCUUAUCCUUAUCUUCCUCAUCCAACUUUUUGUUUUUUACAACUCUUUGUGGAAAAGGAAUUGGUGGUACAUAGUCUUUACCAAUAACAACUUCAAAAUCAGGCAUGGGCUCAAUAACUUUUUUAUUUUUUCUAGGGUUGGUUCAACCGCUUCAACACUUUUUCCAGAUCUCAAGGAAAUUGCACUCACAUUAGGGCCUUUUGGUUUCACUACUGUUUGGACAGGUAAUUGGUUUGAUCCUUGAAUUUGUUGCAUGACAUUCAUUGAAGUGGAAAGCUGUCCAAUCUGUGUCUGCAAGUUCUGAAUACUAGAAUUUGUUCGCUUAUGAAAUUGGAGAAUAUUUACAGCCAAUUGCUUGACAAGGUCAUCUAGUGAAGGUCCGGAAGGUGCAUAGGUGGUUACUUGUGGGGUUUUUUAUGGUGGUGGUAGCGGUAGCAUAAAGUGUUGUUGACUAGGUUAUUAUAUGGAUGGGUUCUUAUGCCAAAGGUUUGGAUGGUUACCUAUUAGUGGAUAGGUCAUGAGUGUUGUAGUACCUGUACUAGUUGUUGCUUUGAGGGUUGUAGAUUUUUGUUGCGUAUGCUUGAGGCAAAUCUAAAGUAGGACAAGUAUCUGUUGGGUGUUCAAGAGAGGUGAAAAUGCCACAUAAUCUUUCAAAUUGAGUUUUUCUUACUGCUAGUUGUCUCACCAAUGAAGUAAGCUCAUCAAUUCUGGUUUCUAAAGCCUCGUUGGAAGGAGAAGCUUGAAUUCCAUGCACUCUUUUUAUUAGAACCACAGAGUUGCUUUUGGUUGUGAAUUAUUGUGAGUUGAGUGACAUGUUUUCAAUUCGAGUCUUAGCUGCAGUUGAGGUCUUAUCAAAAAGAGCUUCUCCACUAGCAGCAUCCAAAAUACUUUUGUCCAUAGGUAACAUCCCUUCAUAAAAGUAUUGAAUUAGCAAUUGUUCAGAAAUAUGGUGUUGAGGACAACUCGACACUAACUACUUGAAUCUCCCCCAAUAUUCGGCCAAUGACUCCAUGUCAACCCCUUUAAUACCACGUAUAUAUUUUAUGAUCUAAGCAACUCUUGAGGAAGAGAAAAACCUUUCUAGGAACACUCUUUUUAGAUCAUUCCAGCUUGUGACAGAAUUUGGCUCAAAGUAAUACAGUUAAUCUUUUGUAGCUCCUUGAAGUGAGAACGGGAAUGCUCUGAGCUUUAUAUGAUCCUCUAUGAAUCCUUUAGGUCUCAAAGGUGUAGAGCAUACAACCUGGAAUUCCUUCAGAUGCUUAUGCAGAUCCUCACUUGCAAGACCAUUAAACCUUGGCAACAAGUGUAUUAAACCAGAUUUUAAUUCGAAAGGUACAACAACAACAGGAUAUUCAAUACAUAAAGCAUUAUAAUUAACACUAGGGAAAGCAAGUUGUCUCAGAGUUCUUUGAUCAGCCAUGUUAAACUCAAAAUCAGAAUCAACAAAGAAUGAGAAAACACAUAACCAAUUCAGCAAUGCAGCAACAACUAAGAAAAUACCAACAAUGUCCCUAAUAAGUAAAAACAAUUGGAAUAUGGAAAAACGAUUAAAAGAAAAGAAAAAAAUAUAAAAAUAUAAAAAUAUAAAAUUUAAACUAAUAAAGUAAAAUAAGAGUUUUGAGAAUUUUUUCGGAAUUUUUUGAAACUAUGAAAACACAAUAAAAAAAAUCAUAAAAAAUAGAAAAAUGAUGAAUUUGGGGUUUUAAGGGUAGUGUCCCGUGACUCUUUUCAAGAGUAACGAUUUUUUACUCCUGAUUUUUUUCUACUAAAUUGGCAUGGAAAAAUUUCGAUUCCGGGAUGAUUUUUCUAAAACUGGGUUCUCGGACCGGGUUUGAUGGAUACGCGCGAAUUGGCCAAAACAGCAAGAAUGGAUGGGCCAAAACGCAAGGACGAACACCUAAGACUCUAAUAAUGGUAAAAUUUGACAAGAGUCUUAGGCAACAGCGCCAAUUUGAUUCGUUGUCACGCACGGGUCAAAAACGAGUAAUUAAAAAUUGUAGUUUAGGAAACCGACACUCGAAAGUAGUAUCGCAGUGACUCUUUUAUUGAAUUUUACCAACUGAAAAUGAUGGGGGGUUUAAGGUUUAGGUUUUGAAUAAAAUAAUAGUAAAAAGGAUUCGAUUAAGAAUAAGUUAAAACGGCUAAUCCUAUUGAUUUGGGUUCCGACUUAUCACUGGCUAUUGUAAAUCCAAUCUCCUAAACGGCUUUGAUUCUAUUCGAAUAUGAAAUCAAUUAAACAAGUGCUAUCAAUAUUAUGUGAAUUGUGUUCAUGUUUAUCGCAUUAAGCAUGACAUUUUAAAGAUUAGGCGAAGCUAACAUAUAAGCUAACUUAACACGCGAUUAAAAUUAGGAACAUGCAUACAAUUGAAUUUAAUCAAUUAUAUCCUAUAAGUAGCAAUCGAAUUAAGCAAACUGAUACAUAGGUAGAAUUGAAAAGAAAUUGAAAUUGAUUUGGAAUUAAAAUAACCUCAAAGCGGUGGAACCCGUAAUUAGCAUAAUUCUCCUUAGGGAUUAGUUCUCCAUCAAAAUCGUACAAAGCUAAGAAUUUCGUGAAUAGUGAAUAUGUGUAUGAACAGUAGCCACUACUACUUUAGGUUAAAGGAAACAAGGAAUUAGGGUUCUAAUCCCAACCGGAUCGGAAAACAUAAAAGUUGACCCAAAACUUGUCCAAAACUAAUUAUUUUCUAAAGUCUGAAACUAAAAUUAUUUCUUCGAGUUUUUUACACUCUGAAUCUACUUUUAACUUCAACAUGAAACUUUUAUCUUAUCCUCUUAUCUAUUCAAAACGUAAUAGAACGAGUCAAUCCAAUUAUCGUAGCCCAAGUUAUGACCUACAAACCGAGAGGGUGUAAAUAGUUGUUUAUUCAGAAAAUACCAUACGAAAUUAAAAUAAAUGUAACAAUAAACUAUGCUAAGGAAACACACUAAAAUAGUAGAAAUAACAAAAGAUACUCUAGAAUUUUUUCAACAUAAUAGUGAAAUAAUAUGCCUGAAAAUGCACUGAUCAAACGUCAAAUCUGCUUUUUGAACGGAUCGCUUGAAGAAGGGUUGUAUGUAGAGCAACCACUAGUUUUGUUGUGAGAAACCAAGAGUUAAAAUUCUACAAGUUGAAGAAAGCAUUGUAUGGUUUGAAGCAAGCUCCAAGAUCUUGGAACAAGAGGAUAGAUGGUUUCCUAAAGGAGGUUGGUUUCAAGAAAUAUGUAUCCGAACAUGGCGUGUAUGUCAAGACGGAUACAAGUGAAGAUGUGGUUAUCCUUUGUUUAUACAUAGACGACUUGUUGAUAAUUGGAAGUGAUGGAAAAUGCAUUUCAAAGUUCAAGAGUGAACUUAUAAAAGAGUUUGAGAUGACUGACCUUAGCCUCAUGACAUACUUCAUUGGCAUUGAGUUCCACAAGCCCAAAAGGGGAUUGCUCAUGCACCAAAGAAGGCAUGCACUUGAGAUAUUGAAGAAGUUUGAAAUGGGGUAUUGUAAUGUUGUCAUUACUCUGACUUAACUGAGGAUACAGUUUUCGAAGAAUGAGGAUGAGCAAGAUGUUGAUCCAACUCAGUAUAUGAGACUGAUUGGAUCAUUUCUUUACUUGUGUAAGACGCGACCCGACGUGACGUUUAAUGUCGGUAUUGUGAGUAGAUUCAUGGAGAGAUCGAAGGUGUCUCACUUAGCAACAGUCAAGAGGAUCAUAAGAUGUCAAAUGGUCGAUUGGCUGGGGAAUUCUCUUUCUCGCAUCGGACACAUGAAGAAAAUGAAACUUACUCAGUUUUACCAAUUCCAACUGGUGUGGAGAUAAAGAUGAUCGAAAGUCUACAGUUGGAUACAUCUUUAUGUUCGGCGAAAUACCAAUUUCAUGGUGUUCGAAGAAGGAACUGAUAGUAGCACUCUCGUCUUGUGAUGCCGAGUACAUUACUGCUUCGUUAUGUGUGUGUCAAGUCGUGUGGCUAAUGAAUCUAUUGAAGGAGAUGGGCAGCAAUGAGGGUGAUGUUGUUACGCUCUUGGUUGAUAAUGUUUUCGCAAUUAAUCUUGCUAAGAACCCAAUUGCACAUGGGAGGAGAAAGCAAAAUGAGAUAAGGUUUCACUACUUGAGGGAACUUGUCAGUUAAGGAAGGUUGAGAUUGAGAUAUUGUAGAAGUGAAUACCAAGUGGUUGAUUUGUUGACUAAGGGAGGCACAAUUGAAGUGUUCAAAGAUUGAAGAUGAACAUGGACAUGGAAGACUUGGAGCACUUGAAUUAAGGUGGUGUGUUAUGAAAAAAUUGACAAUUCUAGUGUUGUAAUCAGUUACCACGGGCAUGUAACCGAUUACAGUUGUGUGAAAAAGUAACAGGAAAGCUAAAAAAAGGAAAUUCUUGUUGGUGUAACCGGUUCCGCAUUCGCAGUAACCGGUUAUCACUGUUAUAUUUUUAGAGUUUGUUUCAGCUAUAACCGGUUAUAGAUUUUGUGUUACCAGUUACAGGUACGAGAUUUUCAAUUUUAUGUUAUUUUUGAUGUUGUAACUUAUUCUCAAUCCACCUGUAAUUGUAUAUGUAUUUUGGAGGUAUUAUGAAUGAAAACUAAUGAUAAUUUUCACCCUCAAUUACACUCUCUCUAAUUAUAAUUCUCAAUCACUCUCUCUUAUCUUUUACAUUCAAUUUCUUCAUUAUUCGUCAAUCUUGUAAUUUCAAAUUUUAAUAUUUAGUUUAAGUUUUUAUAUAAAAAUAUAUUUAAAAAAUUUAAACAAAAUAAUGUAACAAUAUAAGAAUCAUUUUUAAAAUAAACCGAAAGAAAUGUACUAUUUAUUUUGUUUGAUUAACAAUAGCUAUAAUGGAAAGCUAUUGCUACAUUAAUAUUACUAUAGUUGUUUCGUUUUAUAAAAGGUAUGGUUUGGCUUUUUUUGGUGUUGCGUCGGAAAUUUCUCAAAUAUUACAACUUUGUAUGUUGAUUAUAUUUUGUAGACAUUUAUGUAAAGUCGACGAUCAUUUUUGUAUGUUAACUAAUAAUUUAUUAAUUUAAAAGGUUUAAAAUUUUAAAAAUUAACUUUUUUUUGGGAAGAAAAAAUUAACUUUUAAAUCAUGUAAAAUGAACUUUGUUGUUCACAAACUUGAAUUUAGUCUAGUUUGAGUAAAAGAAAAUGUGUUUCAAAAUCAAAUUGAAAUUUGAAUUUUGAGUUGAAUCAAUUUUUAUUGACUCGACUUAAGUCAAAUUAAACUCAAUUCAACUCAUUUUCUACCUUAAAUAUAAAAAAAGUAUUAUAUGAUUAUUAAGAUUUAACCUUUAAAAACAAUAUUUAUUUAUAUUUAUAAAUUAAUAUAAAUCAGUAUGUUGAUAUUUAUAAAUAAUUAAAUUCUUUUAACGUAAGGAUUUUGAAAUUUUAGAGUAGAAACAUUUGUUCAUAUUAAGGAACAUUUGUUCACUAAUGUACUUUUUCUAUUAAGGGCUCUCUGCUCUUAAAGAUGACUUUAAAUUCAGAUUGAAGAUGGAAACUCCUAUUUUUGGAUUUUUCAAUUGACCUGAGGUAGAGAAAUUAGUGGACCAAGUUCUCUGUGUGGAUAUUCACGAUCUGGAAAUACGAGGUGUUUAUUUGGAUGAGAAUUAGAACUUCAAUUCAUUAUAUGUUAAUAUUCAUUUGGUUGUUUGUGACCGUCUAAAAGCGCUUCUCAUUUGUGAAAUUCUGGCGUAGUCAGAGUUCAGAUGUUCUACUCCAAGUCAUGACAUCUGAUCCAACAUUGUUACUAAUACAGCAAGACAGUUAUACAAAUUAAAACCCAGUACUAAUCUACACACAUUCACCAUGAAAUUCUGGCGUAGUCAGAGUUCAGAUGUUCUACUCCAAGUCAUGACAUCUGAUCCAACAUUGUUACUAAUACAGCAAGACAGUUAUACAAAUUAAAACCCAGUACUAAUCUACACACAUUCACCGAUGUCACGACAUCUACUACUAUAUCACCAUAGAAUGGAAGAACACCCAGUUCUGUCCAUCUGGUACAAGGACACAGUAGAGAUCAAACAUAGCACUAACUUCUGUUGAGCCUGCACAGUUAUCAGCAUGAUGUCUCAAUAGUGAUUUGGACAUCACCUGUUACAGUAUUACAGUUUGCUGGCCUUGUACUUGUAUUUCCUAAAAUAAAGGUUAAACACGUUAAUCUAAUUUCCACAUAUUAGGGUGCUAACAAAUAGGCUAUUUGUUAGGUUCAUUAAUUGUAGCUCAGUUGUUAGUUUCCUGGAUUUCAGCUCAGCUGUUGGAUUGCUGAAGAAUAGCCUGAGAAAAAUAUUGAAACAGAAAAACUAACCUUCCUACAAUUUAGCAUAUGCUGUCAGGAAUGGAUGUCACAACAUUCAUUUUGGACGUCCAGAACAUAGACCAUAUGCUAAGUCUGUUAUUUUUCUGAAAACAGACUGUACAAAAUGAUGUACUGUAUAAGACCAACCAGUCUAUAUUUCAAUAUCAGCUUACAGUAAUAAAUGUCAAAACAUCCAGUUUGACAUUUACAGAAUGUGCCUUAUGCCAGGUCUGUUAUCCUCUUGAAGAACAGACUGAGAUACAUACUGAACUGUAGCAGAAGACCAACCUGCCUUAUUAUUCAGUAUAUGCUGACAAUGGUGAAUGUCAUAACAUCCAGUUUGACAUUCAAACAGUAUGCUAUGUACCAGGUCUGUUAUUCUCUUGAUAAACAGACUGAAAUACAUGCUGAGUUAUAACAGACAGAAUUAUAACGUGCAGAAGGAAAACAAACACAGGAAAUUGUUAACCCAGUUCGGUGCAACAUCACCUACUCUGGGGGCAUACCAAGCCAGGAAGAAGAUCCACUAUCAGUAGUAUUAAUUCAGAGUUAAACUCUCUCUGCGGUUUAACUCUUCACUUAAUCCCUACCCAAUGCAAUUUAUACCGUAGGAACUCCUAGAUAGAAACCACCAGUUUCCAUUUCUAUCACUACAAUUUCAAAGUAAUGCUAAACAAGUUGAACUUGCUUCACAACUUAGUUCAAGACCAUGACAACUCUUACCUACAGGCUUUGAGUUACAAAAUAAUCUCAGCUUUGAGCACUGAGAAACACAUGGUAAUCUUCCCACAGGUUGGGAGGUUUACCUCACACACACCCCUAAUUUUUACAUUGUUUGAGGCUCACUUCACCUAGGUUACAAUCUGCUAUUUAUAACCUAAACACCCAACUGGAUUUGGGCCUUAGAAAUCGCAACAAGCUUCUCCUUUGUUGUUACAAAGUCAGCAGAAAACUCCUGCUAUAAUCAAGGUCUUCAAUCUUUUAGUUCCUAAAAUAUCUCCAUAUAUAUCUCCAUAUUUGGAAACUGUAUAUUCUGAUUGAGUCUUUAAGAUCUCCACAAGGAAGUUAGGAUAUUCACCAAAUAUCCUCACUAAUCCCAGAAUAUAUGCCUGAAUUAACUAAUUCAGUUUUCUACACAUGUGUGAUGUCACAGUCACGAUGUCGUGACAUCGUACAUGACAUGUUGGUCCAGAUGUUGAACUUCUUCAACCCAACAUAUUAAAACAACAGAGAUGAUUACAUUAUUUGUUUUACAAAAUUAAUGUCAAUCCUAAGGUAUUAACAAUUUGUUUGAAUUUUCUAGUGUCUGGUUGGUUGAUCUGGAGGCAAUUUAGAUGGUAUCUAUAUUGUUCGGGAUGAUUAUAUCUGGCUUAAGAGACUUGAAUUUAUUCAUAAUACAACAGAAACUCUUGGAAGUGGGUGUGGCAUAUAUCUGCUCAUAAAAAGGUGAAAUUCUUCUUUUGAGCGGCUUUACAUAAAUCAUUUCCUACGAGAUCGAUGUUGUGUCAUCAUGGUAUGCUACAGGCGAAUCUCUAUUCUAUAUGCAAUCAUGACACUAAGGUGAAUCUACACUACUUGAGACUGUGAAUUCACUACUCGCUUUUGGAAAUCUAUUGGUUUCUUGGAUCCAUUAUUCUUCUAAGGGGAUAGUUUAUAUGAUUGGAUUAGACAUGGCAUUGAUGAUGACUCUAUCUUUUUGGCUGCUUGUUGAUUGUUAUGACGCACUAAAAACAAAUUGUAUCUUGCAAAUGAAGUGGCAUCUUUCUGUACUUUGAAACUCAUCACAGUUAAUUAUGCUAAUUUAUUAGCUAAAUGUUUUCUCAAGCAUAAAUGUCUCAUCCAACGAGAACAAUCAUGUGGAAUGCAUACAAAGAUAGUAAUAUGAUUUUGAAUUUUGAUGGCAAUAGCCUCAGUAAUCUCGGCGUCUCGUAUUUUGUUGGAUUGAUUUGAAAUGAUGAUGGUGCUUUGGUUCACAAUUUUGUGGGUAAUUGAUUUGAAAUGAUGAUGGUGCUUUGGUUCACAAUUUUGUGGGUAAUAUUAGUUAUUCCAACAUCCUUCAUGUUGAGUUGAUGGUGUUAUAUCAUGAUUUGUAUAGGGUCUGAGAACUUAGCAUCAAAGACAUAAUGUGUUACUCUAACUCUAACUCUGCUAUCAAACUAAUCUCAAAGACCGUUAAUAUUUGACAUCACUAUGUUGCGAAUCUUCACAACAUUAAAGAGCUCCUCUUCAGGAAAUGACACGUUCAAAUAUUACACACUCUUACGGAAGAAAAUAUUUGUGCUAACUGUCUAACAAAACAUGAGACCGAUAAUGAUGCGCCGAAUAAGUUUUUUUUUUGCAUAAUCUCCUAUUUAAAUUAUCACUCUCUUGCUAAUUGAUAUUUAGUCGAAUUUCCUAUUCUUUUUCACUUUUACCAAUAUAUAAUUUUUUUUUUAAACAAAUUUUAAAAAAUAAUAAUUUUUUUUAUUGAAAGUGUCAUUAAAUCCAAAAAAAAUCAAUAAACUUAAUUGUUAAUAAUACAUGUUUUAAAGAGCAAUUCUUAUUUGUCAAAAAAAAAAAGAGUAAUUCUUAUAAUCCUCAAUAAUAUUUAUUAUUAUUAUUAUUAUUAUCUUUUAAAUGGGUCUGUUUUUAUGUCUCCAGAAUUUUUUUUAUUUAUAUAGAUUAAUCAUUUAACUUACAAAAAUAGUCAUAAUCACAAUAAGAGUAGGAAGAGUUUGAAAUUGAGUAAUAAGCAAAUGCUAAUAAAACAAAAUAAGUCUAUAAUUAACCUCAUACACAAAGGGGGCAAAUGAUCCAAAUUGGAAAGGAUCCUGGUAAAAAUGAUCCAAAUUGGAAAUGAUCCAAAUCAUUCAUGUAGCAAUACAGCUAAACAUGAGAACUCAAGAACCAAAAGUGGUCCUUCAAAUGACUUUAACAUGCUAAAAAGAAAAGUCAUUAUUUGAUUUUCCCUUUAUCAUUCAUUAUGAAAGAGACUCACGUUUAGAUUAUUCCAUUCCAAACACAGUGUCCAAUCCUUGUCUCUUCCUACCUUUUUCACCCCACUAUCCCUACCGAGCUUCCUUAUACAAACCAUUAUCCAUCUAAUUUAUCUUUAAAGUUACCUAACCAAAUUUGUGUUUGAAAUUAAAAUCAUAAGAACGUGAUUUAUUAUUUUUCCUUAAAUUCAACCACUCUAUCAAUAAUUUGAUGUUCUAUUUAAACUUUAAUUCAGAGACUUGUUGUUACACGGCAUUGACUAUUAUGAAUAAGAGAGGUGUACAUUGGCUCACAUGGAAACCAGUUAAGACACACAUUCUAUGAAACUUCUGACUCAUGGCUACAUUUUUUAUAAACUAUAGUAUAUAAUUUAAAUGACGCAUUCAUUGCCAGCUUAUUAUUAGCAUUAACGACAGUAAUAAACAAAUAGACCUGAUGUAAUGUAACAACAACAAAAUUACAUCACUUCUUUCAGAAUAACCUGUUUAAUUAUUAAUUCAUAGAAAAAUUUAUUUAAAAAAAAAAAAAAAGCAUAAAUGAAUCAUAGAAAAAUAUUUGUUCAAACAUUAUACUAUAGAGAAAUGUGCAUGAUUUCCUUUCCUCCACCACUUGGUCAGUGGGGGCUGUUUUUUAAUUUGAAAAAGCAUAGUUGUAUAAUAAAAUUAUCUAACAGAAAUAAAGAACCAAUAAUGUGCACGUUUCAUUCAUUUAUUGACAUCAUAAUUCAAAUGUUAGAACCGACAAUGAUCAGUUGCUAAAAACAAUGCACUCAGCAAACAUUACUAGAAAAUUCAUUCAUGAAGCUACAAUACAUAUAUCAGAUACAGCAACGCAGGUUUGAAUAUGUGAGAUUUCACUUAUUUCUUUUAAAGAGUGAAAUUUCAGCUAGUAAAUUACUUGACUCCUCUAGAGACUAAAACAUUACUAAAGUUAAAGGCCGAAGAAAAAAAUAAUAAUUAUUUCGUUCAGGAGAGAUUUAAUUAAUCUGUGAAAUAAAGUUUUUCUGGUUAUUGUUUCUAACUUUUUCUCCCUCUAAAGUUUGUGAGCCUCGAAUAACCUGUAAAUGAUGCAACGUGCACUUUGAACUCAUGCAUGUGUUGACAAGAAUCACAUGUUAAUAAUCAUUAUUAUUGAGAGAAAUCACAUGGCUCAGAAAAUUAAAAAAAUUAAAGUGAAAGUGAAAGUAAUAUAGCAUAGCAGGUGAACUAAAGUGAAAACCAAUUUGUAUUCUUCUCGUAUUAGCAACUUCCCUUGGCCAUGGCCAUGGCCAUGACCAUUAUACGUAUUUAGAUGAAUUAAGGUGCAGAAGUGUGUAAUGUAUAUUUCAAAUUUCUAGGGAUACAUUUGAAAUAAAAUAAACUAUGAUUUUAGAUUAUGAUGACGAUCUAUAUCAUACCUAACGACCACGUGUACCUGUAGGAAAUUAAGGCAUAUUUGGGUUAUUCUGUAACACAAAGUGCCAAAUGCUUUGUGUUCAAAACGUACAGAAAGAAAUAAAGAAAAGUCAAAUAUCAUCUUCACCUUAUUAUUAAACAAACACAAAUGAUUUGAUCUAAAGCUUGUAAUAGCUGCCAGCCAUUAAGGACUUAAACAAAAAUAAUUAAUCUUUAAUGCAAAAUAGAGUAUUCACUUUCCCUUUAUGCUAAAACAAUUGAAAAGAAAAAAAAAACUAAAGAGAAAUAAAGCAUUUUGGAGGUACUUUUUUGUCAAGAUAGGCAACUCAGCAGAGAAUGAUAAAAGAAUAGUAAGUUAUGGUAAUUAGUUUGUGUUGGAUACUAUACUAAGAAGAAGUAGAAAUGGUGAUUAAUAUUUCAAUUAUUAGUAGUAGUAGUUGGAAUUUGAUGGUGACUGGUUCUAUUGUAUGGCCAUUUGGAGGAAAAGAAAUUGGAGAGAGAGAGAGUGUGUAAAACAGUAGUUAGAAAAGUCAUAAGGCCAGCUGGAGGGAAACUUAGUUUAAGGCAUUAAAAUCUAAAAGAAACCAAAUGAAUAUUUUGAAAUGGUCCCUUAUGACAGCUCCCCUUUAACGACUCAUUACUCUCACUAUAAGUAUAGCUAUUUUAUGUAAGCUUUCAUCAGUCAUCACUAACACAAAACCUUCCCCUCCUCUUUCUCUAUCUCUCUUUUCAGCUUUUCUAAAUAGUGGUGAGGAUACUCUCAGAAGCAUUGGCCAGCUUUUGCCUAUUGCCCAUGACUGCUAGGGGCAGUGACCCCAUAAGGGGUCGGUUUCGGCCGGAAAUGGCCAUGGCAUUGGCCAUUGUUCUGAUUUCUACUACUGUGGUUUCUGUUGCUGCUGAUGGUUACCCAUACAGUUCUCCUCCACCACCAACUUAUGAGUACAAGUCACCUCCACCAUCAACUCCUUCACCACCACCUCCUUAUGAGUACAAGUCACCCCCUCCACCACCCAUUGAACCUCCUUAUGAGUACAAGUCACCCCCUCCACCACCCAUUGAACAUAAGGCUCCACCAUAUGAGUACAAGUCACCUCCACCACCAUCUGCCUCACCCCCACCUCCUUAUGAGUACAAGUCUCCUCCACCACCUUCUUCAUCACCUCCACCUCCUUACUACUAUAAAUCUCCACCACCACCCUCUCCCUCACCUCCACCACCUUACUACUACAAAUCUCCUCCACCACCCUCUCCUUCCCCUCCUCCACCUUACUAUUACAAGUCUCCCCCACCACCAUCACCUGUUUACAAAUACAAUUCACCACCUCCACCAUCACCAACUUAUGUGUACAAAUCUCCUCCUCCUCCAACACCAGUUUAUAAAUAUAAAUCACCACCUCCACCAUCACCAACAUAUGUGUACAAGUCUCCUCCUCCUCCAACACCAGUUUACAAGUAUAAGUCACCACCUCCACCAUCACCAACAUAUGUGUACAAGUCUCCUCCUCCUCCAACACCAGUUUACAAGUAUAAGUCACCACCUCCACCAUCACCAACAUAUGUGUACAAGUCUCCUCCUCCUCCAACACCGGUAUACAAACCUCCAUACUACUACAAUUCACCUCCUCCUCCAACACCAGUUUACAAAUACAAAUCACCACCUCCUCCAUCACCAACUUACGUGUACAAGUCUCCUCCUCCACCAACACCAGUAUACAAACCCCCAUACUACUAUAACUCACCUCCUCCUCCAACACCAGUUUACAAGUAUAAUUCACCACCUCCACCAUCACCAACUUACGUGUACAAGUCUCCUCCUCCUCCCGCACCAGUUUAUAAGUACAACUCACCACCUCCUCCAACACCAGUAUACAAAUACAACUCACCACCUCCUCCAUCACCAGUUUACAAGUACAACUCACCACCUCCUCCAUCACCAGUUUACGUCUACAAGUCACCACCCCCACCAACACCUGUAUACAAACCCCCAUACUACUACAACUCACCUCCUCCUCCAACACCAGUGUACAAGUACAAUUCACCACCUCCACCGUCACCAACUUACGUGUACAAGUCACCACCCCCACCAUCACCUGUAUACAAACCCCCAUACUACUACAACUCACCUCCUCCUCCAACACCAGUGUACAAGUACAAUUCACCUCCUCCUCCAACACCGGUGUACAAAUAUAAUUCACCUCCUCCUCCAACUUACUACUACAAUUCGCCACCACCUCCGGUAAAAUCUCCUCCUCCACCAACACCUUACUACUACCAAUCUCCACCACCACCCAAGUACACUCCACCUCCAUACUACUAUAGCUCUCCUCCUCCCCCUGUUGUGUAUCCCCCACAUCCAUAUCACCACUCAUUGAUUGUGAAGGUAGUGGGUAAAGUCUACAGCUACAAGUGCUAUAACUGGGAGUAUCCUGAAAAGUCUCAUGACAAGAAACACCUCAAAGGUAUAUUACAUUCACUUCUUAAUCCUUAUAUUUUAAUCUCUCUUAUCGACAUCAAUAUUUUUUUAUAGUCAAAUUCUUGCUGGUUAGUUUUACAUUUUUAGAUGAGUUUCAUACGCUCUUUAUAUUAAGUUUAGUUAUUCAUUUUUCAAUCAACUACUACAAAGUAUUUUAUCUUCUGCAUGUACCCUUUACAAAUGAGAACUUACAUAUAUUAAUAAAAACUAACUUUUUUUCACUCAUUAAAGUAAAACAACUUAAUUCCUAAAUAACAUGCAAAUUUUGCUUAGUUCCGACUGCAAGAUGUAAUAAAGGAAAUCAAUAUGAUAGAUAAUAUGACUCGAUAUUUGGAAUUGGAUAAUGCUACAUAAUUACUAUGAUCUACAACACGGAUAGCUAAACUUUACCUUUUAGUAAAACCUUGUAAUGUUUAAUUCUGUCAUUACUUAUAUUUGACUUUACUGUGAGGCUUACGAAUUUCAACUGAUUAUGGGAUAGGUGCUGUUGUUGAGGUCAAAUGCAAAGCUGGAAGGAACAUCAUCAAGGCGUACGGUAAAACUAAGAACAAUGGAAAGUACGCCAUCACAAUUCCAAACUUUAACUAUGUGAAAUAUGGUCCCACAGUGUGCAAAGCCAAACUACAUGCUCCACCUAAAGGCUCUCCAUUCAACAUCCCAACUAAGCUCAAUGAGGGAACCGACUUGUGGGUAAAAUCUAAAGACAAGUAUGAAGUUGUGCUCAAGGCAAAGCCAUUCGCCUAUGCUUCUAAGAAGCAUUAUGAAGAAUGUGAAAAGCCUAAGCCUUCACCAACUCCUUACUACUACAAGUCACCUCCUCCUCCUACACCAACUUACAUAUACAAGUCACCACCCCCACCAUCACCAACUUAUGUGUACAAGUCACCACCUCCACCAUCACCUAUAUACAAACCCCCAUAUUACUACAACUCACCUCCUCCUCCAACACCAGUUUACAAGUACAAUUCACCACCUCCACCAUCACCAACUUACGUGUACAAGUCACCACCUCCACCAUCACCUGCAUACAAACCCCCAUACUACUAUAACUCACCUCCUCCUCCAACACCGGUUUACAAGUACAACUCACCACCUCCACCGUCACCAACAUACGUGUAUAAAUCACCACCACCACCAUCACCUAUAUACAAACCCCCGUACUACUACAAUUCACCUCCUCCUCCAACACCAGUUUACAAGUACAAUUCACCACCUCCACCAUCACCAACUUAUGUGUACAAGUCACCACCCCCACCAUCACCGGUAUACAAACCCCCGUACUACUACAACUCACCUCCUCCCCCAACACCAGUUUACAAAUACAACUCACCUCCUCCACCGUCACCAACAUACGUGUACAAGUCACCACCCCCACAUCACCGGUAUACAAACCCCCGUACUACUACAACUCACCUCCUCCCCCAACACCAGUUUACAAAUACAACUCACCUCCUCCACCGUCACCAACAUACGUGUACAAGUCACCACCCCCACCAUCACCUGUGUACAAACCCCCAUACUACUACAACUCACCUCCUCCUCCAACCCCAGUUUACAAGUACAAUUCACCACCCCCACCGUCACCAACAUAUGUCUACAAGUCUCCACCCCCGCCAUCACCUGCGUACAAACCCCCAUACUAUUACAACUCACCUCCUCCACCAACGCCUGUUUAUAAGUACAAUUCUCCACCUCCACCGUCACCAACUUAUGUGUACAAGUCACCACCCCCACCAUCACCUGUAUACAAACCCCCAUACUACUAUAACUCGCCUCCUCCUCCAACACCAGUUUACAAAUACAGUUCACCUCCUCCUCCAACACCGGUUUAUAAGUACAAUUCACCUCCUCCACCAUCACCAACUUACGUGUACAAGUCACCACCCCCACCAUCACCGGUAUACAAACCCCCAUACUACUACAAUUCACCUCCUCCACCAUCACCAACUUACAAGUACAAUUCACCACCUCCGCCAUCACCAACUUAUGUGUAUAAGUCACCACCUCCACCAUCACCAACUUAUGUGUAUAAGUCACCACCUCCACCAUCACCUGUGUACAAACCCCCGUACUACUACAACUCACCUCCUCCUCCAACACCAGUUUACAAGUACAAUUCACCUCCUCCACCAACACCAGUUUACAAGUACAAUUCACCUCCUCCACCAACACCUAUAUACAAACCUCCAUACUACUACAAUUCACCUCCUCCUCCAACCCCAGUUUACAAGUACAACUCACCUCCUCCUCCAACACCGGUUUACAAAUACAACUCCCCUCCUCCUCCAACACCGGUUUACAAGUACAACUCCCCUCCUCCUCCUCCAAAACACCGGUUUAUCAAGACAACUCACUCCUCCUCCAACACCGGUUUACAAAUACAAUCACCCCUCCUCACCAUCAUCCGUGAUUUACAAGACAACUCACCUCCUCCUCCAUCACCUGUUACAAGUACAACUCACCCCUCCUCCUACACCGGUUUACAAGACAACACCCUCCCCUCCUCCUCUCAACCACCGUUACAAAUACAAACUCCCCUCCUCCUCCAUCACCGGUUUACAAGUACAACUCCCCUCCUCCUCCAUCACCGGUUUACAAGUACAACUCCCCCCCUCCUCCAACACCGGUUUACAAGUACAACUCCCCUCCUCCUCCAACACCGGUUUACAAGUACAACUCCCCACCUCCUCCAACACCGGUUUACAAGUACAAGUCACCACCUCCACCGUCACCAACUUACGAGUACAAAUCUCCUCCUCCUCCAACACCAGUUUACAAGUACAAAUCUCCACCUCCACCAUCACCUACAUAUGUGUACAAGUCUCCUCCACCACCAACACCAGUUUACAAGUACAACUCACCACCUCCACCAUCCCCAUCACAUCCCCCUCCAUACUAUUACAAUUCUCCCCCACCGCCAUCACCAUCCCCACCUCCACCUUACUAUUACCAAUCCCCACCACCACCAUCCUCUUCUCCACCACCUCCUUAUUACUAUCAAAGUCCUC
RNAcentral lists this long non-coding RNA (37250 nucleotides) under Lathyrus oleraceus (garden pea). Its description in RNAcentral is "Pisum sativum (pea) long non-coding RNA (PSAT_LNC036744)". The record is from RNAcentral. Lineage: Eukaryota; Viridiplantae; Streptophyta; Magnoliopsida; Fabales; Fabaceae.